UAGUAAUUAAUACUCACAAAUUUCAUCCAACACCUUCCUCUAUGGUCAUAUUAUCAUUAGUAGCAACAUACUUUUCCAGUCACCAACCAAGUCCUAACACCAGAAAGUGGAAACAAUUUCCUAGAAAAUAUUACCAGACAUUUUUACAGAAGGAACUUCUCAUUAGAAAUGACUUCCAUCAUAUCAAACGCACUUGAUUAGAAAAGGGCAGCAAGAAAAUCACAACAUAAAAGAGUAGAAAUUCGAUCAAACCAGUGAUACCAGUAAGUUACAAAAAAAGGACGUGCGAUCCUUGUGCAGGAGGCAAAUCCAGCAAGAGACUGCAAAACCCCUCUGUCAUGGAGGAUGAAAUAGGUUAUACCUUUGAUCUUGUGACUUCUCUGGAUUACAGUUAUCCAUUGCUUGAUAAACCGCACAGCACAGAGAUGACUACAUACCUACAAUCAAGUUCAACAAUAUGGUUUCUAUCCAUCCAGAGAAUAAGCAAAAGGCAAAUGAAAAGCGGUCAAGAAAAUAAAUGGACACAGGAUUCUAUACUGGUUCUAUCCUUCAUAAUAUCUCUAUGAAAAAUGGCAUAUCUAGUAGAAUAGCAGAGCAAGCACAAAUUGCAGAUGUUCGUUGUACAAAGUAUACAUGAUAAGUAAAUUUACCAUUUGUAUGAUAAAGAAACAUAGCAACUACCCACGUAGGAUCUUCUACCAAAUAAGUAACCAGAAUACAGAAAACACCUGAAUGAGUCAAUUACCAUCCAACAAGAACAAGAAACAUAGGGACUGUAUAUUUCAUCAAGAACAACUGUGCAUACCUAACCACGACAUGUUUAAUAAGCAAAACCUAAACAUGGUCUACUAAUGAGGUAGUAAAGAAAAAUCAAAAUAUUCAAACUAAGACAAAAUAGAAAAUGAGUUGUUAAUAAAGCCAAGAAAAUUGAAGAAAACCAUCUCCCUUGGAAAUGGGGUUGAGAUAGUGUGAACAACAUUGAUACCUACAUCAAUCUAGAUGACCUACAAGAUCGAGAAGAAAGGAUGUCAACUUCCACUCAUUUUCUAAGCAGCCACCAUCACAAGUGGUUACUUUACAAAAAGAGGUCCAAAUUGCACAAGUUAUCAGAACCAUUUCAAAUUCCACAUUAAUUCCACGAGUUGUGAUUCAUUGCAUCAACAUGUACAUUUUAGACUAAUGCAGAAAGACAAAUAGCAUCUAUUUUAGCUGGAUUCAGUUAUAGUAUUCAGACAUUUUUCAUAGUUAAAUUAUUUUUACAUCGGCCAUUAAUCCUCCUUUAUCUGAGCUUAGGACCGGCUACAGCCUGCAAAGCUCACAUGGUCAGAGUUUCAAACCGACAGAAGUUGCAUAAAAUAUAUUCUUCAAAUUUUAACACGAAAGGAAUAUUAAGAAGAGAAAGCACUAAAGAAGGUGCAAUACAACAUCUUACAAUCAGCCGAAUUUUACCUAUUCGCUGAACUAGCUUACAGAAAGGAAAAGUGCAGACAAACACAUUUACAUAGUCCAUAGCUAACAUAUACAUAUAAAUCACAAGGAGGAAAGGCUACACAUUCACAAUAUAAGGCUUCAAGCUCAAGCAACACUACCAAAGAAGUUACUAGCAGUAUCUUGAUACUGUGAGCCAAGUGAUGCACAAAAGGUAUUCAUCAAAAGCUCCUCAUAUCCACAUGAUUUCUGUCACACCUUUGAUGGUCAAAAAUAUAUGUAUGUAUAUUAACAAUACAAAGAAGACACAAAAUUGACUAAUUCAUCUAAGCCAAAAUAAGAUAUUCAGUUAAUGAGUCCUCCCAAAGAAUAUUGUAUCAUGUUCGUUAAAUAAGGGGAAACAUGGCAGCAGAUUAUGGUUUCUUCCCAUUUGUCCUAGUCAUGAUGGACAGAGUAACCUAGUACCUGUUGCUGGUGGGAGAUGAUGGUAUUCCAUGGAAUUAGUCGCAGUGUGCGAAAGCUGGCCCGGACACCACGUUAUCAACGACAAGAAUAACAGGGCAGCAGAUUAUUUAGGUGUAUUGGAAAACUUUAAGCCGCCUUAGAGAAAAUGUAACCACAUGAAAUGUUUGUCAUUUGUACGUAAAAUUUAAUAUAACACAACCACUUAUGGUACAAUCAAUUACUGUGUUAAGAAAGAAAAUAUAACCGUGAAGUGGUGAAGUAGGGUAUUUAUGCUUCAUAUACCAUGUUAGGCAGCAGACAAGUUCCUAACGUAUUAUUGAGCCUUUGAUCACAACUGGAAACAAAUAUCUAAUACUAACAAUAAGCAAAAUGCGAACACUUAUCAUUAAAU
This 2284-nucleotide long non-coding RNA is filed under the name Solanum tuberosum (potato). Its description in RNAcentral is "long non-coding RNA (STUB_LNC006113)". Lineage: Eukaryota; Viridiplantae; Streptophyta; Magnoliopsida; Solanales; Solanaceae. The record is from RNAcentral.